UGGGGAAUUUUGGACAAUGGGCGAAAGCCUGAUCCAGCAAUGCCGCGUGUGUGAAGAAGGCCUUCGGGUUGUAAAGCACUUUUGUCCGGAAAGAAAUCCUUGGCUCUAAUACAGUCGGGGGAUGACGGUACCGGAAGAAUAAGCACCGGCUAACUACGUGCCAGCAGCCGCGGUAAUACGUAGGGUGCAAGCGUUAAUCGGAAUUACUGGGCGUAAAGCGUGCGCAGGCGGUUUGCUAAGACCGAUGUGAAAUCCCCGGGCUCAACCUGGGAACUGCAUUGGUGACUGGCAGGCUAGAGUAUGGCAGAGGGGGUAGAAUUCCACGUGUAGCAGUGAAAUGCGUAGAGAUGUGGAGGAAUACCGAUGGCGAAGGCAGCCCCUGGGCCAAUACUGACGCUCAUGCACGAAAGCGUGGGGAGCAAACAGGAUUAGAUACCCUGGUAGUCCACGCCCUAAACGAUGUCAACUAGUUGUUGGGGAUUCAUUUCCUUAGUAACGUAGCUAACGCGUGAAGUUGACCGCCUGGGGAGUACGGUCGCAAGAUUAAAACUC
Molecule: ribosomal RNA, 552 nt
Filed under: uncultured bacterium
Lineage: Bacteria
Description: partial 16S ribosomal RNA
Rfam family: Bacterial small subunit ribosomal RNA
Source: RNAcentral